This 200-nucleotide unclassified non-coding RNA is filed under the name Melanconiella sp. Its description in RNAcentral is "partial internal transcribed spacer 2". Lineage: Eukaryota; Fungi; Ascomycota; Sordariomycetes; Diaporthales; Melanconiellaceae. The record is from RNAcentral.
UUAAGUUCAGCGGGUAUUCCUACCUGAUCCGAGGUCAAUCUCUAGGGGGGGUGCAUGAUAGCGGGUUUUACGGCUGGGCACCACUGGAGACCACCUAAGCGAGAAAAAAUUACUACGCCCGGAGUCCCAGCAGGUCCGCCACUGAAUUUGAGGGCUAGCCCUUUGACAGGCUAUGCCCCAACACCAGGCGCUGAAGCCUG